Molecule: long non-coding RNA, 606 nt
Filed under: Rattus norvegicus (Norway rat)
Lineage: Eukaryota; Metazoa; Chordata; Mammalia; Rodentia; Muridae
Description: long non-coding RNA NONRATT028185
Source: RNAcentral
GCAGAGUGCUGAAGGUGCUGUCUGUCUGCUCUAGCAACAAGCCGGCCAUCGUGGAAGCUGGUGAGUGCACAUACACAGUCUGAGAGCUCACAGUGCACACUCACCUUUCCCUGCGUUACUGCUCAGUUAUUUGUCAAAGACAAAAGCACAUCGCUCCAUAAAGCUUGUUUCUGAUUUUGAUUUUGGUAAAUGUGAGGUUGGGCCUCACUAGCAACCCUGUGAAUAUAGAGUCCAGCUUACUAGAGAAGUGGUUAUGUCUGUCUUGUUCUGUGUGAGAUUUGUUGUGAAUGUCUUCUUCUCAGUGAGCCGUUCCCUACUGUUUUUGUCCUGCGUUUUAAUUGGGCAGCUAUGUAUGGCAGUUUAUGUUGUGCCUGGUGAUAAAGAAAAACAAGGUUCAUGUCCAAGCCUCUUGGUUAGGGUGAAAGUAGUUUCAGUUCUCUGGCUUCCUUUCAGUAAGCAGCUAACAUCUGUCUAGGCUGCUGAACCAAGCAAGCUUUAGAUCCCAAGUAGAGGUGGGAAAUGGUGAAGGCAUUAUGUGGGGGAAGGCGCUGAAGAUGAGGCACUGGGUUGCAGCAGCCAUCUUUGGGUUGUUGGGAACACUUCAGG